CCCUUAGAUGUUCUGGGCCGCACGCGCGCUACACUGAUGCAUUCAACGAGUCUAAAACCUGGUCUGAUAGGGCUGGGUAAUCUUUUGAAUGUGCAUCGUGAUUGGGAUAGAUGAUUGCAAUUCUUCAUCUUCAACGAGGAAUGCCUAGUAAACGCAAGUCAUCAGCUUGCAUUGAUUACGUCCCUGCCCUUUGUACACACCGCCCGUCGCUACUACUGAUUGGAUGUUUAAGCGAGGUUCUCGAACUGCUAGCGACUUAGCUUCGGUGAGGUCGCAGUGUGGGAAGUGAACCUAGCUUUGGUGUCUAGAGGAAGUAAAAGUCGUAACA
Molecule: ribosomal RNA, 328 nt
Filed under: uncultured eukaryote
Lineage: Eukaryota
Description: partial 18S ribosomal RNA
Rfam family: Eukaryotic small subunit ribosomal RNA
Source: RNAcentral